UGGUCGAUGAUGACUAGCCCACUGCGCAAGCUGAUCAGUGCAUAUUUGUGGUGCAUUGCUGGAGAAAUCAGUGCUGCUUAUUGGCUGAGACCC
This 93-nucleotide non-coding RNA is filed under the name Labrus bergylta (ballan wrasse). The record is from RNAcentral. Lineage: Eukaryota; Metazoa; Chordata; Actinopteri; Labriformes; Labridae.